This 237-nucleotide ribosomal RNA is filed under the name uncultured Actinomycetales bacterium. RNAcentral's name for it is "partial 16S ribosomal RNA". It matches the Rfam family "Bacterial small subunit ribosomal RNA", at positions 524 to 760 of the family's 1533-position model. The record is from RNAcentral. Lineage: Bacteria; Bacillati; Actinomycetota; Actinomycetes; Actinomycetales.
UACGUAGGGUGCAAGCGUUGUCCGGAAUUACUGGGCGUAAAGAGCUCGUAGGUGGUUUGUCACGUCGUCUGUGAAAUUCCACAGCUUAACUGUGGGCGUGCAGGCGAUGCGGGCUGACUUGAGUACUGUAGGGGUAACUGGAAUUCCUGGUGUAGCGGUGAAAUGCGCAGAUAUCAGGAGGAACACCGAUGGCGAAGGCAGGUUACUGGGCAGUCACUGACGCUGAGGAGCGAAAGC